RNAcentral lists this ribosomal RNA (253 nucleotides) under uncultured bacterium. RNAcentral's name for it is "partial 16S ribosomal RNA". It matches the Rfam family "Bacterial small subunit ribosomal RNA", at positions 524 to 776 of the family's 1533-position model. The record is from RNAcentral.
UACGGAGGGUGCAAGCGUUAUCCGGAUUUACUGGGUUUAAAGGGUGCGUAGGUGGGCCUGUAAGUCAUUGGUGAAAUCUUCAAGCUUAACUUGGAAACUGCCAUUGAUACUAUAGGUCUUGAAUUAUCUGGAGGUAAGCGGAAUAUGUCAUGUAGCGGUGAAAUGCUUAGAGAUGACAUAGAACACCCAUUGCGAAGGCAGCUUACUACGGAUUGAUUGACACUGAGGCACGAAAGCGUGGGGAGCAAACAGG